Long non-coding RNA from Photinus pyralis (common eastern firefly), 677 nucleotides. RefSeq lists it as uncharacterized. The record is from RefSeq and is a predicted model, not a curated record. NCBI's taxonomy places the organism in Eukaryota, Metazoa, Arthropoda, Insecta, Coleoptera, Lampyridae. The transcript is spliced from 3 exons.
CUCAAUUGGCGAAGAAACAAAGUGUAACUUUAUAUUGUGUAUACUGUAUAGGCAUUUAAUAAUCCGGCCAUAACAGAAUUUUUAAAUUCUGUUCCAUUAUCGACAACUAUUUGGUUGGGGAUUCUAUGAUGGGAAAAGUUUUUAAUAAGAUUAUCGGCGAUUUCUGUGCUCGUGACUCGUGAGGUUUCGGCAAUUCCGCGAUGGUUUAAUUUUCCUUCAUAUUAGUUUGGGAUGAUUUCCCUUAUGCUGUUCUUAUCAGUUAGGGAAUUCUAAUCAUUGUCGCCGCUUUGUAGUACUAUUGAUAAUUUUUCGUAAACGUUCGGUUUUUCGAAGUAAGUACAUGCAUUGAGUAAGGAAUCUGGAUUCAGUUUCCUUAAUGCAUAAGUAUAAGUGAUAAGUGACAUCUAAUUCUUUAUCGAAGUUAAUUAGAUACGUAAUUCGUCAAGAUCGAAAUUAUUUUCUGAAAAUUCAACUUCGAUUCUUUGCUUACAACAAGUUCAGUGAAGAUUUGCUAGUUUGCGUAAUUAAUGGGGUAAUUUGCAAUUUACAAAAUUGGGCUUCUCUCAGCGUUAGAGGGCACUAUGUGAGCUUCAUCGUUACGUUUAGGAUUUUUAGUGCAUUUUUUAAGAAUUAUAAAAAAUGGGCUAUUGUUUGCGUUUUGUCCGUCCGAGCCCACU